Molecule: ribosomal RNA, 500 nt
Filed under: uncultured bacterium
Lineage: Bacteria
Description: partial 16S ribosomal RNA
Rfam family: Bacterial small subunit ribosomal RNA
Source: RNAcentral
AUUGAACGCUGGCGGAAUGCUUUACACAUGCAAGUCGAACGGCAGCACGGGGGCAACCCUGGUGGCGAGUGGCGAACGGGUGAGUAAUACAUCGGAACGUGCCCAGUCGUGGGGGAUAACGUAGCGAAAGCUACGCUAAUACCGCAUACGAUCUACGGAUGAAAGCGGGGGAUCGCAAGACCUCGCGCGAUUGGAGCGGCCGAUGGCCGAUUAGGUAGUUGGUGAGGUAUAGGCUCACCAAGCCGACGAUCUGUAGAUGGUCUGAGCGGACGACCAGCCACACUGGGAGUGAGACACGAGCGAGACUCCGGCGGGAGGCAGCAGGGGGGAAGUUUGGACAAUGGGCGCGGGCCUGAUCCAGCCAUUCCGCGUGGAGGAUGAAGGCCCUCGGGUUGUAAACUGCUUUUGUGCGGAACGAAACGGCGCUCUCUAAUACAGGGGGCUAAUGACGGUACCGUAAGAAUAAGCACCGGCUAACUACGUGCCAGCCGCCGCCGUAA